Molecule: non-coding RNA, 76 nt
Filed under: Acanthisitta chloris (rifleman)
Lineage: Eukaryota; Metazoa; Chordata; Aves; Passeriformes; Acanthisittidae
Source: RNAcentral
GUGUGGUGUGAAAGGAGAGAAGGUUAGCACUCCCCUGGAUAAGGAUGCAAGAAGUCCUAGUGGCUUAGGAAAUUCU